This 25916-nucleotide long non-coding RNA is filed under the name Solanum melongena (eggplant). RNAcentral's name for it is "long non-coding RNA (SMEL_LNC000171)". The record is from RNAcentral. Lineage: Eukaryota; Viridiplantae; Streptophyta; Magnoliopsida; Solanales; Solanaceae.
UUUCCUCAAGAGGACCAAGUAGAGCUAGUCCUGGCAUCUUGAAACCUGACAUAAUCGGUCCUGGUGUUAAUAUCCUUGCUGCUUGGCCUACCUCCGUGGAUGACAACAAGGACACCAAAUCCACAUUCAAUAUUAUAUCAGGCACCUCAAUGUCUUGCCCUCACCUUAGUGGCGUAGCAGCUCUGCUGAAGAGCACACAUCCUGAUUGGUCUCCUGCAGCUAUUAAGUCUGCAAUCAUGACAACUGCUGACACGUUAAACCUUGCCAAUAGUCCAAUACUAGACGAAAGGCUCCUUCCUGCUGACAUUUUUGCCACUGGUGCAGGACAUGUUAAUCCAUCGAGGGCAAAUGAUCCAGGACUAGUUUAUGAUACCCCAUUUGAGGACUAUCUACCUUAUUUAUGUGGUUUGAACUAUACGAAUCGACAGGUAGGUAACCUGUUACAACGCAGGGUGAAUUGCUCGGAGGUGAAAAUUAUCCUUGAAGCACAAUUAAACUAUCCUUCAUUUUGCAUAACUGAACUUGGAUCAACUCCUCAGACAUAUACAAGAACUGUGACCAACGUUGGUGACGCUACAUCAUCUUACAAAGUGGAGGUAGCUUCACCAAAAGGCGUUGCCGUGGAAGUUAAGCCCACAGAGCUAAAUUUCUCCGAGUUGAACCAGAAGUUAACAUACCAAGUGACAUUUUCCAAGACAACUAGCAGCUCAAACUUUGUGAUUGUUGAUGGAUUCUUGAAAUGGACUUCUAAUAGACACUCAGUGAGAAGUCCAAUUGCAGUUGUGUUAGCCUAGUCAAAAAUUGGCUUUAUGAGUGCAUAAACUACUCAUACAUUUUAUUUUACUGAAAAUACUGUUUGUUUAUCGUUAUUUACUUCAUGUGAGUAAUUUGGGUACAUGUGAAAAAGUUUCGUAAUGGUGAAGAUAUGAAUGACCGCAUAGUAUAACGAUAACACUAUUAAAUGAAAGUUAAGAAAAAAAUAUUUUUGACUCUUUUACCAACUUAGAAGUAGGACAACAAAAACAAGUCCUACGAGUUCCCUAGAAAAGACAUUAGACCACGCUCGGUUUCGUUUACGAAAUUAAUGUCAAUCCAAACCAAAUUAAAAUAAAUUUAGUUUGGUUCUGUUUGAUUAGAUUAUCAAUUUUUGAGUCUAUAUUAAGUGUUAUUGAACAAGUUUACCUCCAAUUCAACUUCUAUCUUCGAAAUGUGAGAGUUUAUUAUUUAGGGUUCAAUUUUCAGUCAUGAGAGUUUCAAUUUAGGGUUUCAGAAUUGGGAAUUACGUAAUUCAUAAGUGUAGGAGCUACAGCGGGUCACUCUCAAAUGCCAAAUUGGGUCAAUUUUUAAUGGGCUAUUGACAUUGGAUAGGCUGGGCUGUCAGUGUAGUGUAGUGCUAAAAUUCGUGUAUUCGGUUAUAUCGAAUUAAUUUUGUUAAAAAUUGAAAAUCGAAUCGAACAACUAAAAUUGCUCCAUCAAAUAAAAAAAUCGAUAUUGAAAUUUAAAAAAAUCCCGAAAUAUGCCCGGGCCUAGUUGUAAUUAACUCACAUGUCUGGAAUAAGUAUUUCUUACACGCCAGUAGUUUCAAAGGUAAAAAAUAUAUAUUAAAUAAAUCAUACACAUACACUGUACUAACAAAUUUAUUUUUUAUUUGAAUUCUAUAUAAUUUAAUAAGAUACAAUAAUAUUGAUGUAUUCGUUGUACUUUAUGUAUAAUAAAUUUAUCUUUUAUGUGAAUUCAAUGUUAAUUAGAAAGAUACAAUGAUUUUAAUAUAAUCAAAAUUAACCUUCAUUGAAUUUCAAUACAUGACUCUUUAAAAUAAAUAAAUAUUAAUUUAUGAGUAAAUAAUAUUUCUACAAAAUAAUAAUAUUUUAACGUAACUAAGCAUAAAAAUAAAAUAAUUACAAACAUAUACCCCUUUACAUUCAUACACUUACUAAAUACUUACAUUGUAUACCCCCAACUAAUUUAAAAAAUAUUACUUAAAUGACUAUGUGAGAAUUUCGAUUCAAUACUUAAAUUAGGACGUUGAUGCUAAACUUGUUAAUAUGACAAAAAAUAAAUAAAUAACAGGGACAUUCCUAUAUAUAAUCAUUCCACACCCUUCCACCCCUAAAUCAUACUCCCCCACCCUAUCCCACUCGUAUAUUAUUUUUCAUGAAAAAUAUUUUCUUACUUUCGAACGCACUCUGUACCAAAAUACCCCUUCACUGUAUAUGUAAUUUUCAAUCACUUCAAUUAUUAAUGGAGGAUAUAUCAUUUCCAUGGGAAGAAAUGUAUGAUUUUUGAGUGUUUCACAUUUAAACUUUGACUGUUUAAAUUACGUUAAGUUCGAGGCAUAUAUGACUUUAAUCCAUAAUUUCCACCUCAACUUACACAAAUUUAACUAAUCUGCUUAAAUAUGAAUAAUGUUCAUAAUUAUGAUACUAAGAAUAUAAAUAAAAAUAUAAGACUCACUGUCAACAAAAAAUUCUCAUUUUUUAAAAAAGAAACAUACUUAACAAUUGUUUUUUAAUCUUAAUUUCAAAUUUUAAACUUUUAAUCUCGACUUUACCUUUACAGCUAGGACAGGCUUGUUAAUCACACUUUUGACGUGGUCAUUACUUUCCUUUAUUUUUUAUGGAAAUAAUGAAAUCAACUAGUCUAUUAUUUGUGUAAAAUAAUUCUACAUACUUUCUCUUUCAAUCGUGACUUUUUUUUUUCCACACUAUAACAUUAAAAUGUCUCAUUGUGAGUUUUAACGUGUAAUAGAGGGCACAUUUUAACAAUAGAGGCGGAAUCAAGUAAGAGCAAGAGAUUCAUUUGAGUAUUUUUUGGUGAAAAAUUAUAUUAUAUAUAUGAGGUUAAUUUUUUUUUACAUUAAUUUUUUUUUUGUGUGUAUUUUUAGUUCAUUACAUAUACAUUUGUGGGUGAAAAUCAUAUGACCUUGUCACUAUUAUUGACAACCCCUUCCCUUCUAUAUAUACUUAAAUUAUGUCGAUUCGAAUAGCGGGUGUGGAGGAAAAUGAAAUUAAGUUAACGUUGAUAGUCUUAUAAGGACAAAGCAAUAUAUGUGAAUCUGAUUUUAAUCGAAUUAGUGGACGAUAAAUACUUAAUAGUGAAGCUUAAAAAAAACUAAAAACAUAUAGUUGUUUGAUUGAGAUAAAGUGGAUCAUGAAAGGUCGUGGACCACUUUGUUGUGACACUUUUUCGUGAAAAAUUAGAUGGAUAGAUUGGUGGUUUAAUUAUAAUACGUGUGGAGAAUUUUCUUGAUUUUUUAUAUUUUGAUUAUUUUUAAUGAAAAUUCAUGUUUUGCUACUGAUUACCAAAGCCAAAAUAUAAUGUAAUAAGAAAUGAAUUUUGGAAUUUUCCCUACCUAAACCCUUACAAUAAUUAAUAAAGUAAGGAUUGUUCAAAUUCGCAUAAAGAAAAUUUUUCAUUCUUAAUUAACCCCUUUCUGCACGCCAAAUGAAAUUGAAUAAAUCAAAAAUUAGAAUGGAUUUGAGUGUAAUAAAUAUAAUGAUAAAAGAACUUAUCUUAGUCCUAACUCGGCCACAAAAUAGCUCAUGAGGAGACACUGCCCAAGAUCGUAAAGGGAGGGCCUUAUGCAAUGUAACAAUAUUGUAUAAUUAUGUAUAUAUGAUGUAUAACUAUGUAUCAAAGAUGUAUAUACAUCCAUAUACUCUGUUUGUACAAUGUUUAUGCAUUGUAUCUGUUCAUCUUCCUCAACAAUGUGUUUUCUUGAAUCUCAACCAACUCAAAUCUUCUCUAAAUAUGACUCAACAAUUUACAGACGCGCAUAAUUUUAUACGUAUCGUGCCCCAAAGAAAGGGGAAAAAGAACAAAAUUUUUUUUAACACAAAUAAUUGAUUGAAUUCAUUGUUUACUUUCCAUUUUUGAUAUACAUAGAUUAUAUUAUUAAUUAUACACUUAUUAUUCAUGAAUUAAAUACAUAUAUUAUCUAUCCAUCCACUAAUUUUAAUUUCAUUCCUUGGAUUUCCACAUAUAAAAACAAUAUUUUUUUCCAGCAGCCCCUGUUGGUCCUUUGUGCCCCCACAAGUAAUCAGGUGGACUGAAAUGUAGUGCCAAUUAUCUCUAAUAAUUUCUGCAAUUUAAAGGAAUAAAUAGAUAAAUAUGGAUUUCGACAUAUAAAAACACAGCACAAAAUUAAUAAAAGUUUAAGUUGUGUUGGGAUAUUAGGUCUUGGGUCAACUUUUGUUAGUUAAAUGAGUUUGAUGAUUAGAAUACGCCAUAAUUAUUAUGAUAGUAAUAAUUUAAAAGUUCAAAUGAAAUAUCGAGUCAAAAUUAAGUGUAAUUUUUCGUGGAUUUACAUUUAUCUAAUUAUCUCAUUCGCCAUUUUCUUAUGUCGAUCACCACUCUCCUCUCUCGCUUGCCUCUCUUCCUGUAUCUCUGGUAUACAUGUACUUAAUACGAUUCUCAUGAUGUUUAUGGGGAUGAUUCACAUAUAUCUAGAUAUCUCGGUCGCCUCUCUUCUUUUUUCGCUCGUGUUUCUCAAUUGAAAAUGACAUAAAUAAGUCAAACUUUAAAAGAAUGUCAUAUACGAGCUUUUUCCACAAGUUUAACAACAAAUUUGAGCUUUUUUCCUUUAAGGGAUAAAACGAAAUUAAAUAUAUUAUAGUGGAUGUCAUUUGGAAAAUAAAACCAUAGAAUAUAAUUUUCUGAUACUGGAGAAGUGAUAAUUUUGUUCAUACACAUGGUCUUUUUUCCACAAUAAUUUUUCUAGAUGUUGAAUAGGUCAAUAAUAAAACACUAUAAAUAGACAGUUGCUUCAAAGCAGAGAAAUUCAUCAAAUAAAUCAUCACUUGUUGUAUUAGCUAGCCAUGGGAUUAUUGAAAAUCCUUCUUGUUUUCAUCUUCUGUUCUUUCCAAUGGCCUACUAUUCAGAGUAAUCUCGAGACUUAUAUCGUCCAUGUUGAAUCCCCUGAAAGCCUAGUUACUACUCAAUCAUCGUUAACGGAUUUAGGUAGCUAUUACCUUUCUUUUUUGCCUAAAACUGCUACCACAAUUAGUUCGAGUGGAAAUGAAGAGGCUGCUACCAUGAUCUAUUCCUAUCACAAUGUGAUGACAGGGUUUGCAGCAAGAUUAACUGCAGAACAAGUGAAGGAAAUGGAGAAAAAACACGGCUUUGUCUCUGCUCAGAAACAGAGGAUUUUGUCUUUGCACACUACUCAUACUCCAAGUUUUCUUGGUUUGCAGCAGAACAUGGGUGUAUGGAAGGAUUCCAACUAUGGGAAAGGCGUGAUCAUCGGAGUUAUAGACACUGGAAUUAUUCCUGACCAUCCUUCUUUUAGCGAUGUUGGGAUGCCUCCCCCGCCUGCUAAGUGGAAAGGAGUUUGUGAGUCCAAUUUCACCAAUAAGUGUAACAACAAGCUCAUUGGAGCCAGGUCUUACCAACUUGGUAAUGGUUCCCCGAUAGAUAGUAUUGGACAUGGUACACACACAGCAAGCACAGCUGCAGGAGCCUUUGUGAAAGGUGCUAAUGUAUAUGGCAAUGCUGAUGGAACUGCAGUUGGUGUUGCUCCUCUAGCCCAUAUAGCCAUAUACAAGGUGUGUAAUUCUGUUGGUUGUUCUGAAAGUGAUGUUUUAGCUGCCAUGGAUUCAGCUAUAGAUGAUGGAGUAGAUAUUCUUUCAAUGUCCCUUAGUGGAGGUCCAAUCCCUUUCCAUAGAGACAAUAUUGCUAUCGGGGCGUACAGUGCAACGGAAAGAGGAAUUCUUGUAAGUUGUUCUGCUGGAAAUAGUGGUCCAUCCUUUAUCACAGCAGUAAACACCGCCCCUUGGAUUCUUACGGUAGGUGCCAGCACGCUUGACAGAAAGAUAAAAGCUACUGUUAAGCUUGGAAAUGGAGAGGAAUUUGAAGGAGAAUCUGCUUAUCGUCCAAAGAUUUCCAACGCAACAUUCUUCACUCUAUUUGAUGCUGCAAAAAAUGCAAAAGAUCCAUCCGAAACCCCUUAUUGCAGACGAGGUUCACUCACUGACCCUGCUAUAAGAGGAAAGAUAGUAUUAUGUUCAGCACUCGGCCAUGUAGCCAAUGUUGAUAAAGGACAAGCUGUGAAGGAUGCUGGAGGUGUUGGCAUGAUUAUCAUCAACCCAUCACAAUAUGGUGUCACUAAAUCAGCUGAUGCUCAUGUUCUUCCAGCAUUGGUUGUUUCAGCUGCAGACGGAACAAAAAUUCUUGCUUACAUGAACUCAACAUCAAGCCCUGUUGCUACAAUUGCAUUCCAAGGAACAAUAAUUGGAGACAAAAAUGCUCCUAUGGUUGCUGCAUUUUCCUCAAGAGGACCAAGUAGAGCUAGUCCUGGAAUCUUGAAGCCUGACAUAAUCGGUCCUGGUGCUAAUAUCCUUGCUGCUUGGCCUACCUCCGUGGAUGACAACAAGAACACCAAAUCCACAUUCAAUAUCAUAUCAGGCACCUCAAUGUCUUGCCCUCACCUUAGUGGCGUAGCAGCUCUGCUGAAAUGCACACAUCCUGAUUGGUCUCCUGCUGUUAUUAAGUCUGCAAUGAUGACAACGGCUGACACGUUAAACCUUGCCAAUAGUCCAAUACUCGAUGAAAGGCUCCUUCCUGCUGACAUCUAUGCAAUUGGUGCAGGACAUGUUAAUCCAUCAAGGGCAAAUGAUCCAGGACUAGUUUAUGAUACACCAUUCGAGGACUAUGUACCUUAUUUAUGUGGUUUGAAGUACACAGAUCAACAGGUAGGUAACCUGAUACAACGCAGGGUGAAUUGCUCGGAGGUGAAAAGUAUCCUUGAAGCACAAUUAAACUAUCCUUCGUUUUCCAUAUUUGGACUUGGAUCAACUCCUCAGACAUAUACCAGAACUGUAACCAAUGUUGGUGAUGCUACAUCAUCUUACAAAGUGGAGGUAGCUUCACCAGAAGGCGUUGCCAUCGAAGUUGAACCCUCCGAGCUAAAUUUCUCCGAGUUGAACCAGAAGUUGACAUACCAAGUGACAUUUUCCAAGACAACUAAUAGCUCAAACCCUGAGGUUAUUGAGGGAUUCUUGAAGUGGACUUCUAAUAGGCACUCAGUGAGAAGUCCAAUUGCAGUUGUGUCUGCCUAGUCAAAAAUUGGCUAUAUAAGUGCAUUAAGUACUCGGACAUUUGAAAAUGCUGUUUGUUUAUAUGUUACUUUUUAAUAUUAUAUUAUUAAAUGUAUUGUUUCAAUAAACUUUAUGUUCACAGUUGAUUGAAGAAUGCAAAAGCAUAUCCUCUUUGAUGUUAGUGUCCAUGCACUUUUCUUCUUGAUUUCAUUGAUAAUAAAUAUUACUUGAGUGAUCAUGUAAGAUUUUCACUCCAUACUUAAAUUUGGGAAAUUUGCUGUCACCCUUUGAUCCAGAAUCUUGACAGUGACUUCAAAAAUAAAGUCUUAGUCUUCGGUGACUUCAAAAAGUAAUUGGGACGUUGAUGCUUUAACUAUAUUAGUAAGACAAGAAAAGUAAUAGAGACAUAUCCUAUGAACUUAAAUUUUUUAACAUAUUGUGGCCAAAUGAGAAAUCUAUAGCCAACUAUACAUGUCAAGUCCAAAUUCUACCAUUGAAGGGGACCAAUGUACAUAAUUUAUCUUCCAAAGAAAUUAAAUUAACCAAUACAUAUUUGGUUUUGUAAUAAUUUUCACAAAAAAACAAGAAUUACAGAAUGCAUUGUUGCUAUUUGUGUGUGGCCCAUCAUGUAUUGGUAGCAUUUUUUUACUAGUUAAUAGAGUAACGAUUGUCCAAAUUCGUAUAAAGAUAUCAUCAUUCUUAAUUAGCUCCUUUCUGCAUGCCCAGUGAAAUGGAAUGAAUCAAGAAUUAGGACGACGCAUAUAACUCUAAUAUAAUAAGAAAUGAAUUUGCCCUACCUAAACCCUUACAACUAGUAAAUAGAGUAAGGAUUGUUCAAAUCCGUAUAAAGAGAUAUUCGCAUUCUUAAUUAUCCGUAUAUGAUGUAUAACUAUGUAUCAGACAUGUAUAAAUAUUCAUAUAUCUCUGUUUGUACAUGCAUUGUAUCUGUUCAUCUUCCUUAACAAUGUGUUUUCUUGAAUCUCAACCAACUCAAAUCUUCUCUAAACACUCCGAAUGGUUUUGUUGUUGCCUAGCUCUUAUUGAAUUGUAUAUCUUUUGCAUAUAAGAAAAAUAUUUGAUUAUGAUAUAGGGACUCAACACUUCACGAUAGCGAAUAAUUUUAUAUGUAUCCUGCCCUAAAAGAAAGAAAAAACAAAAAAACUUUACUCGCCUCUCCUAUUUUACUCGCCUCUCUCCUCUCUCGCUCAUCCCUCUCCCAGUAUCCGGUAUAUAUAAGUUUUUGGUGUGAUUCUCAUAAUGUAUAUGGGGAUGAUUCACAUAUACCACAAUUGAAGGAGAUCAAUCUACAUCAUCCAUAAUUCACGUUUUGUCUUGCAAGUAAAUUAAAGUAACCAACUUUAGUUUUGUUAUUAAUCACACUUAGUGGCAUUUCUUUUGCUAUCUCUUUUAAUAUUCUUGUCCACAUUAUUCUUUUUUUCCCUCUAGCUAAAAUAGAGUGAUGAACAAUUAGGCAUUAUAAAUAGAGAAUUUGCUUUUAGUAGAUCAAAUUGUGAUUUAUUUUUUGAUUUUUGGUUGCUUUCAUUGAAUCUUUUAAUGUAUUUAGUUGAUUUUAAUUCUUAAAUUAAUGUAUACUUGAUUUGUUUCACCUUUAGGAUUCAUUACAAUUUUAUCGUGUAUAAUAUAUUCUUUUCAAAUAUUAACUUUUAUACAUAAUCCUAAUUUAUUGUACACAAAUUAGUAUAUAUUGUGUUACUAGUUAUGUAUUGGAUAUACAAAUAUUACAAAUUUCAUUUUCUUUUACUACCAAUACAUACACCCAACUUUAUUCAACUAGUAGAAGACUAUUAUUUCUAGGGAAAAGGGUCCGAUAUACUCCUCAACUUUAUCAUUUAGAGCUGAUAUACCCCUUGUUAUGAAAUUGACUCAUAUAUACCCCUACUUGUAAACAAAUGGCUCAAAUAUAUCCUUUUCCAUUAACGGAAAUGAAAAAAAUAAUAAUUUAAAUUUAAAUUUUUAUUAUUUUUUUCUAAAAAAAUAUAAUCCCAUAUAAGUAAAUUUAAUGCUCGUCAAAUAUAUUUUUUUGACUUUUUUUUGUUUCAAUGACUAAUUUAUAAUUAUUAUUUUGAUAAUCAAAUUUAUUUAUGUUUCAUUAAUAUUCUUGUAAAACUUAUUGUAGAUGACCAAAUUUUUUCUUCGAAUACGAAAUUAAAUUACAAAACACACAAAAAAAAUAGUUUAAUUUUUUAUUCUUUAAACUAAGGAAUGAAAGAAAAAGCAAAAUAAGAAUAAGAAAUUCAAAUAAUUAUAAUAAAAGAAGUCAAAAAAUAAUUUAUGUAUGAAAAAAAUUAAAAUAUACUUUGAACUUUGAUAGAAGAAUCAUAUAUACCCCUAAAUUUUUUUUAAAAAAAAAUUAGAAGUAAUAAAUAUAAAUUUAAAACUAAUUUUUUUAAAUUCGUUAAAUGAAGGGUAUAUGUGAGCCAUUUCGUAAUGGCAGGGGUAUAUGUGAGCCAUUUGUAUAACGGUAUGGGCAUAUAUGAGCCACUUUUAUAACGAGGGGUAUAUCAGCUCCAAAUGACAAAGUUGAGAGGUAUAUCAGACCUUUUUCCCUUAUUUCUAAAAUGAAAGUCUAGAGUUCGCUUGAAUUGACUUAAAAGUUGAUCAAAUCUACUUUUAAAGUCCUGUUUUAUUUUUUAUUUUUGAGAGUUUUGACAAAGCAGAAAAUAACUUAUAAUAAGUUAGAGAUGACUUUAAAAAAAAGUUAAAAAUUACAAGUAGCUACUUCCUUACUUUUCAUUUUUUAACUUAAAAGUUACUAAAGUUUAACUUUUAAAAAAAUAAGGAAAAAAGUCUAAAAUAUAUAUCAACUUUGACCGAAAUUAUAUUAACGAUAUCAAACUUUGGAAAUGACCUUUUACCCCUGUACUAUUUAAUAGUGUAUUUUAAAGGUAUAUAUGUAUCCACGUGAACAUCACAAAUAUUCCAUCAUUAAAAAUAGAAAGUCAUCAUAAAAUUUGAUAUGUAACAAUAAUUUCGACCAAAAUUGAGAUAUUUUUCAGACCCUUCUUCCAAAAAAUACUUUUUAUGACAAGAAAGUAACUGGGAUGUUGAGUCGUUGACGCUAAACUUAUUAUUAAUAUGACAAGAAAAAAUAGUCCUAUGAGUUUCCUGGAAAAUACAUUGUAAUUAAUUCACAUGGGCACUUUUUAUUUUUUUUUAACAUAUUGUGGCCAACUGAGAAAUUAUAGUUAGGAUUUUAAAUUGGAUUUUUAUUUCAUAUAUCCAUUUAAAAAUAAUUCAAUAUACUCCAUAACUAUAAUUUGAUAAUUACGAUUUGUAGCUAUAUAUAAGAGGGAGGAGAGAGGCGAGCGAGUGAGAUUGGGAGAGGGAGGAGAGAGACGAAUUGUAUAGGUCUAUCUAUCGAACUGUAUAAGUCUAUCUAUUAAAUAAUUAUAUAUUUAUAGCUGGUAUACGCAUGUACUUGUAUAUCUGGUGAGCGAGAUUGGGAGAGAGGCAAGUGAUAGAGGGUAGAGAGUGGAGAGAGACGAACUGUAUCUGUAUAGCUGUCAGAGGCAGAGAAUGGAGAGAGACUAACUGUAUUUGUAUAAUUGUAAUUAUUGUAUAUAUAUAUAUAUACUAGUUUCCGAAACGUGCGUUGCACGUUUGCCUCAUACAAUUAUUAUAAAGUUGAAUUAUUAUAUAAUGUUGAAAUUAGAAAUAUUAGUUUUACCAAUUUAUAUUUUAUUUAUUAAAUAAAAUUCAUAAUAAUCGAAUAGUACAUUGACCAUCAAACAAGAAAUUUUUUUAAAAUAAAUAUAUUAUUAUAGCAUCUAAUAAUAUGAAUAUAUCUAUAUAACUUAUUCUUAAUAAUCUCUCAUUACUCUCCAUAUUAGUAAGUACACAAAUGUGUAGCUACUUAAAGAAACUAUAUUAGUAAGGAAAGACAAAAGUAAAUAAAUAUUAUAAAAGUAUAUUUAAAAAUUAAUCUAAAUGUCAUAAAUUAGUAAUUUCAGCACUAAUAAAAAUAGCUUAUAACAUUCAUAAUUUCAUAGAAGAUUAUAUUAAAGAAGUAUAAUCGGUAAAGAAUACAAAAAAAAUUAAACAAAUAAGAAUAAAUACAACAUUUAUAUCCUUCUUAAGACUUUUAAUAUAACAAUAUAUAUAGUAAAAGAAAUACACAAGGAGUAAAAAUUUUUUCUCCCGUAACAAAAAAAAACAAUCUAAAAUAGUAAAGAUAAAAUUUAUGAUUCAAAAUAUCAUUCUAAUGAGGAUCAAUAAAUAUUAAUAUUUCAAAACAAAAAAAAGUACCUGUAAAUUGCAUAAUAAUUCACAUCAACACGAGGCAAAUGGUAAAGAACAAUUAUUUUUAAAUGAUACAUAUAUAUAGCUAAAGAUUCAUUGGAUAAGACGAAAAGGUGAAGAGUUGUUUAAGUUAAUUUUAGAAGUUGAAUGAUCUUACACAUGCGGUAGAGGAAAGAUGAUUGUUUUUACUAAUAAUUCAAUACAUUUAAUUAUACUAAUUACAGAGAGAGGAUAACAAAUUUAAUCAUUUAACCACAUUAAUUAUAGAGAAAGAAUUAAUAACUUUUAUUUUUUUUUAAAAAAAAGUAAUUCCUAACAAUUUUCUAUGAAAUAAUUUCUAACAAUUUUCUAUAAAAUAUUUUUGUGUUUCAAAGUUUGACUUUACACCUUCUUAGUUUUAGUAUAAUAUAAUUAUUACUUAGUAUGUAAAUAAUUAGAAUUUAAACUAUUGUGUCUAGAUGCAUGUAUUUAAAUAUGAUUAUAUAAUAUUAAAUUAAUUAUAUAUUAAUAUUUAAUUUAAUUUAGGGAUAAAAUAAGGACAAAAUGGUAAUUCAACUUUUAAGUUAAGAGCUUCCCACUUAUAAUAAUAAGAGUAUAUGUUAUAUCAUAAAAAAAAUCAUCUAGCAGACUAAGUACAAAUAUGUCAUAAAUAUUUUCUUGGGAUAGCUUAAUAUAUAGAGGUUGUGAAUAUAAUCGAAGACAUCUAUAAUCUUUUUCAACACAUCGCAUUAGUACCAAUUUAUACUCUAUCAAUAGUUAUUUCUCCAAACUCAAAAGAGAAUUAAAAAAAAUUAUAAAAAUAUUGAACCAAUGAUUUCUAUAAUCUGGCCAUGAACAAAAUUACACUAAUAACUUAUCUUUUAAGUCUAGCAGGGCACUCUUAUAAUCAAAGGUUCUGAUACCAUCAUUCUGCUAUCGAAAAAGAAAAGCAUAUCAAAGAAAACAUAAGAAUUUUCAGAAUGUUCAUUGAUGUAUUUUUUUUUGUACCCACAAAAUAAGAAUAUGCAAAAAUGAAACAAAAAGAAAAGAAAUAAUACAUACUUACUGGAGUAUCUCCGAUGAACAUAUGAAAUUAGGAGGAUGGUAGAUUAGAUUUUUGAAUGAUUAACAUAGAAUACACACAAUAUAUUAUAGUAAAUGAGACUCUUUGUUUCCCUUGUCUGUUAUGCUUUUUCAGUUGCAUCAUUUAAAUAUGUCUUCAUUAUUAUAUGAUAGAAUUACUGAAGGCUGAAACUAAUAAUUAUACAUGGUAAUUAAGAUACUAUAAAUUAAAAGUUUUACAUUUAAUAUUUAAAAAUAACUCCAAGAAAUUGAACAAAUUACAAAAAAAAAUCUCAUUAAAAUAUUUUUCUCACCUAUUAAAGCAUCAAAUUAGAAUUAAGGAAACAUAAAUCAACACAUGUAAACAAAUUAACAAUUAAUUAAUUUAUAAAUAGUCUAAGAGAUAAACUUCAAAAAAUUUAAACUAUUUAAAAAAAAAUAAUAACAGGAAAACGUGUCUUUAAGAUAAUUAAACUUUAUUAUAUACUAAUAUUUUACUAAUAACCAAUUAGAUGAUUUUUACUAUUUCAAUGCAAGGACAAGGGUAAGACUUUUCAAAUUUAAAAAUUAAGAGUAAUUAAGUUAAGACUAUAAAAUAAUUAGCAAUUUAUUUACUAAUAUUUAGUUACUUUGAUUAUGAUUUAGUAUAGGGGCAAAAUAGUAAUUCAACUUUUUCUUAACAUUCUUCCCACUUAUUCACAUUACAUGUUUAUUUUUGCAUGUCUGCUUAACGUCUGAAGCAGGAUCAGUAAGCAAAUCAUAACUCUUGUAAAUUUUAUUGCCUUUAUUCUUCACUUCUUUAGUAAGUGAAACAUGUACAAUCUUACGCAAAUUCGUGUAAUUUACUUUCAAGUUGCAGAGUAGGAAAUUACCUUGGAUCUAAAAGAAAUUCCGUUGGAAUAUAAUUGAUUCCUACUCUCAAAUCUGUUGCAGCACCAAGUUCAAUUAUUUUGAACGCGCAACAACCUGCUUCAGAGAGACAUUAAUUACAACUUACAAGUACGCAAUCAAACUCAACCAUUGUGAAUCAGGUCAGCACUUUGUUUUUCAAAUAAUAUGUAUAUCCAUACGCCUAUGCAGUUUAUGACAGAGCACUUUCAGUUGCUGAUCUAAAACCUUGGUAGGAUCAAUCUGAACCUCAAGGUUUACUCAUUUUUUCCCCUUGAUUUGUUGACUUUCAACGUUUAAUUCUUUGUUCGAUGUUAAUUUUUACACAUAUUAGUACACACACAUACUGUUGAAUAGUACAGUAGAAUGUAGGAUUUUCAACAUAGUUUAACUGUCCUUCAAUGUCUUUAACUCCUGCUGUUGUUCUUUGUUAAUGAUCAUAAAAAUUCCGAAAUCACAUUAAGCCAUAUUAUAAUGAAGAGACAGAAUGUGUUUUGGAGAACUAAAACACGAAAAUGAUUGAAAAGAGCAACAGAAUAGAGAAUUGACUCAAACUCUUCUUCUACUGCUUCUUUGUUCCUUAAAACAAACAAAAAAAACAGAACUGUCAACAACUCCAUUGCACAAUUGCUUUGUGAAAACUCGAAUACUUGGCCUCCAUCUCAUUCAUAAAAAGUUUAUAUUUGCAAUUAGCAGCAAAACAGAGCAAAACCAAAGCAUUAACAUCAAAAAUUGACUGUAACUAUUAGGCAACAAAAACAAAGCACCAAAAAUAUUUACCUAUAUACUGACACGCCUUCUCUCGCCACUUCGAAGACCUUUCAUGCAGCGAUGUCCACCAAACUCCUUUUCUGACAAAGAAAACCAGGAAGCUGAAGCAAUGCUGAGUAGUAGAGGUAUUCACGGACUGUCAAUGUUCCAAUAAGAGUAGUUUCUCUGUCAACAAAUCCCAGCAGCCAAAAAGUUCCAUAUCAAAAGGCAGAGCUCAUGAUAAAGAAUAGCUAAGUUCCUCAUCCAAAAAUAUUUACCUGUAUAUCAUCCAGACACAAAAAAGAGAAACAAUUUAAUGGACAAUAACAUGUGAUUUGAGACAUUUAUACAAAUGAUGAGAGUAGCUAAAAAGGUUUUGGAAGAAGAUGAUGAAACUUCAUAAUCGUCAGAAGAGAAGUGGAGCAGAUGACCGUUUCUGAAUAAUUAAAUUAGGGCUGUUAGGAAAUUAAAUUUAUAAUAAUCAAUAUUAAUAGGUUUAACUAAUAUAGGGUUAAUAGGUUUAACUAAUAUUUUUAAUAAAUUAAUAUACAAAUGAUAUUGUAGGGUUAAAAUGGUAAAUCAACUUUGGAGUUAAGAGGUUCAUGCUUACAAUAAUACUAGUUUUCGAAAACGUGCGUUGCACGUUUAUCCUAAAAUACUUCGUACAAUGUUUGUAGUGCAAAUAAUAAAUUUAAACAAUAUAUAUAUAUAUAUAUAUAUAUAUCAAGAAUUAACUAUUAUGCAUGAAAAAAUACUCCUUUCAAUCACAUUUGUUACCGACCCAAAGGUAUAUAUGUACAUUUCACAAAUUUCGUCAAUAAUUCAUUUCCUCGUAAAUUUAAAAAAUAAUGAAGUUACAGUGGUUCAUCAACUUAUAAGACACCAUUGGUUCUCUUCAUCUUCAUUUUUAUUCUCUUCAUGUUCAUUUUUUUCUUUCUUUAAUUUUUUUGUUAGUGAGUUGGAUUCACUUGUACAGAAUCACAUCAACUUUUUAUCUUGUAGGAUAUUUUAUUGAUUGUCAUGGAUGUAGUGAUAAAGCUAGAAGUCUUUCUUCUUGUCCUUGUGUAAAAGAUUUUUUUUUUGGAUAAUCCAAUUAAGUGUACCGUCUCAACUUCUAUAAAAUAAUUUUUAUUUAAAAAUCAAACCAAAAUUUUAUUAAGAACAUAUCAACUUACACAAAAAUAAUUAAUUGCAUAUAAGGAACAAUGAUUUAUUACCUGAAAAUUGAUACCACUUGAAAUAGUUCAAUCUGUGUUGCUUCACUUACUGCAUCAUCACUAUGAAAUAUUAGCGUCAUUUCUUAAUUGUAUCUUCAUAAAAAAAAAGUCAAUUUAAAAAAUUUAUUAGUAGUUGAAAUAUUCAACAAUUUAGAUGAGUUCAAAUAAAGAUAAAUAAAACAUUGAGCAUAACAAACUCAUAUAAAAAAAAUAAAUAAAGAUAACAUGAUUACAUGAGAAAGUAUAAUAUAUAAUAUAGGAAAUGGAGAAUCUGCUAAUAGAAGAUAAAAACGUUACAAAUUAAGUGAUCCAAGAAGUGACAUUUUGAUAUCUUUAGACUAACUGGCUAACACCUUAAUAUGAGUUUUCUUUUUUUUAAAUAAUAACAAUGGUUUAAAGAGCAUAAUAAAAGUAGGUAACUUAAAAGGAUAAAUCAUUAUUGCUUUAUUUUUUAAAUUAUUAAUUCCAAUGCAUGUAUACUUUUUUAUCUAGUAAAAUUUUAUCUAGAAAUUAAUUAUGAAUGCUUUCGCUCUUCCACCUUCCGAGGAUAUUAAAUAGUUUUUAGUGCAUUCAGCUUAUCAAUAAUGAAGAACGAUAAAUUUGCACUUCAAAGCUGAAUUUGGUUUUUAUUAUGUUAUUAAUUUCAGUAAGUAUAAUUUAAUAAUAUCAUAUGAACUAAUAUUUAAAAAUAAUUAACUAUUAUAGGAAUACAAUGGUGAUUCAACUUUGCAUUUUGGAGCUUCACACUUAUACCCAUGAGUGUAUUAUUUCUUAAAAGAUAAUAAAAUAUAUCUAAUUGAGAUUUCUUACUUUGUUUUACUACUAAUUGUGAUACUCCAAUUUUCUGACCUUGCGUCUCAUGUUAGUCUAUGUUGACUCAUUUGAAUAUAUAUAUAUAUAUAUAUAUAUAUAUAUAUAUAUAUAUAUAUAUAUAUAUAUAUAUAUAUAUAUAUAUAUAUAAACCUAAAAAAAUUUAACAAGUUAAGUUAGGCUUGCACAAUGUUUAGAGUGUUUAUUGUUUGUAUUUUAAAGAACAAAUAUGUGCUAUAGAUGUAACAAAUAUUAUGAUAUAUUUAUAUUUAAUAUAAUAUUUAUUACGAUUAUAAUUAUAUUUAAUUUUAUCUUUCAUAAAAUUAUAAUAUUAGUAUGCAAUAAAAUAAUUAUUGCUUUUGAAGGCCCUCAAUAUGAUGAUGGGUUGCUAGAAAUUUGAUAUUGAAGAAUGAUAUAUAUAUACAUGUGCAUAUAAGAAUAACCUCUUCUUUAUCUAUAGUAAAUUUAUAAGUGGUUAGAUAUUUAAAAUUUGAUUUUUCGUACUCAGAUAUAAGAUAAUUUCUCAUUAUUUUAAACUGUAACCCCCUUCUUCACUUUACAAAAUUAAAAAUCGUUUAUGAGUGACACCCCUUCAAUAUUUAUGAUGUCAUAAUGAUCCAACACUUGAAAGCGGUAAAAGUUAUUUAAAACUCUCAUCUGAGGUUGCAGAUUUGUUAAUUUGGAGAAUCAUAGUUAAAGUAUGAAUUUUUAGAAAUUGUUAGAUUAGUUUAAUUUUUAAUUAUAUUUCUAUUUUAUAAAGUUUUUAUUGAACUACUAAUAGAUAUUAAAAUUGAAACAUGAUUAUCAUGUUAUGUUUUGUAAGAACUAUAUUUAAUCAAAUUAAAUAAUUAAAAAAUUCUUUAUAAUGAGAUUUAAGAAUAAUAGAAAAUUUCAAAUUGCGCUUUAAAAAAAUAGUUCUUAAUCAUGAGCACGAGCUUAUUAUUUAAAUCACAAAAGACGAUUUUCUCAUUGCCUAAUUAAUAAUUGAUUCCUCAAAUAGAAACUAAAACACAUUAUACAAUCUACAAGUAAUAAUUUUCUUUAAAAUGAAAAUUGUCAGACCAAAAAUAAUAUAACAUGCAACCAAAGCUAAACAAAAUUAAUUAGCAUUGCAUCAAACGGUUGGUUAGAUGUGAUUUAUACUCCUAGCGAUAUAUUAUGUUAACAGUUGAGUAUAUAUAUUAGAUCAAAACAUCUUCAAUUACAAACUUCGAUUGCAAUUUCUUAAUAAUUUUCUUUUGAUCUCAUGACAUGUUAAAAACAACAGAAGAAAAUGAUAUUUAAUAUGAUAACAAUGAAUUUUUUUAAAUAAGAGUAAUUAUACAAAAAAAAAAUUCAUCUAAAGCAUGAAUAUAAUACGGAAAUUAAAAUUGAUUUCAACCUUCGGGAAGACUUGAACAUCCCUUCUGUCGUUGUAAACUCCAUUAGAAGAUCUAACAAUUUGUACACAUUUCUUUUCUAUAAACAACAAAUGAAGAUAAGGAAAAUUAGUAAUCAGUGUUAUGAACAGAAGCUAAAAGUGACUUAAAUAUAUACUAAAGGAUAAAAACAAUAGAAAUAUAGAAACUUUUUAAUUUCUUCCAAACUGUACCUAAAUAUCUUCAAAGUGUAUAGAUUGUUGUGUCAAAUACCGCAAUUUAUAGGACAUCAUUGAGUAAAAUCAAAAGUCUCAUAAUUAUGCCAUCAACUUCUUGAGAGUGUGGAAAGAUUAUGAAGGUGUGAAUAUUAAUGAUGAGAUAGUGAAGGUGUGAUAUUAAUACACAUUAUGACAAAAUUACACCUAAAACUGAUCAGAUAGAGAAAUGAAAAGUUUCUCUAAUACGUUUUCGUAAUAACUUUAUAAUUAAUUAUUUUUACAACUAUUCAUUCUCCUACUUUAUUUUAACAAUAAGUGAAUCAACUUAAUUAACAAUUUAAGCAUAUUUAAAAUUUAAUUAAUUAAUUAUUUUAUAAUAUUUUAAGUUAGUAUAGGGCUAAAAUGGUAAUUCAAGUGAAUCAACUUAAUUAACAAUUUAAGCAUAUUUAAUAUUUAAUUAAUUAAUUAUUUUAUAAUAUUUUAAUUUAAUAUAAGAUUAAAAUGGUAAUUCAACUUUUAAGUUUUGAGCUUCAUGCUUAUAAUAAUAAUAAUAAUAAUAAUAUAUAUAUGUAAUUUAUAUUUGUGUAUGUAUAAGUGACAUAAUUACAACUAAAAUUUAGCUGCAAGUCAUAAUUUAUUAGAACUAUAUUAACUAAUUAACUAGUAUACCUUACUUAUCCGUUCCUUUUUUUUAAAAAUAAUUUGUACAUAUUUUUUUUAUUAGUUUGUUAAAGCAAAUAUACUAUUUGAACAACUAUACAUGUCAAAUGUCCACGCAAGUCCAAUCUCCAUGUAACACGUUUCGUCUUGCAAAGAAAUUAAAUUAACCUAAACUUUAGAUUUGUUUUUAUUUUUUUUUAACUCGAUCAACUCAAAUCUUCUUUGAACCUUCCAAUUUUAUAUAUGAACUCAUCUCAUAUUUCAAGUCUAUUGAUAUAUUAUACGUUCAAGAUAUUUACGUUUGUGACACAUCAAAUUUUAAAAAUUUGAGUUUCAAAGCUCUUUAUAAGUUAAAGUGCUUGGAUGGAUGACUACUAAAAUUGAUUCUUGGAAGAAGGAUCUUGAAUAGAUGCGUGUCUUUGAGAACAUGCAUUGCAAUUUCAUUUAGACAAAAUAUUUGCAACUUUUUAUUACCAAGUGAUUUUACAGUAAAAAAUUUGUAUAUGGAAAGAUGUUCUUUGUAUCCAAAUAUAAUUAAGCAAAUUUACAGAGGAUGGUCUUCUGGAAAAUCUACAAAUUUCAUAAAGUUCAGUUUAACUAGUUUAUUCACGCCUGGUGAUUUAUAAAAAUAAACAAGUAAUUAGAGACAACUAAAAACAACAAAAAAAUUGUAGACAAAUAGUUAGAGACAGUUAGAUUUAUUAAUUUUAACUAUGUUGUCCACAUUAUUCUUUUUCUCCACUAGCUAAAUAAAGUCAUGAGCAAAGAUGAAGUAUAAAUAGACAGUUGCAUCAAAGCAGAAAAAUUCAUCAAAUACAUUAUCACUUCAGCCAUGGGAUUCCUCAAAAUCUUUUUUGUUUUCAUUUUUUGUUCUUUCCCAUGGCCUACUAUUCAGAGUGAUUUCGAAACUUAUAUAGUCCAUGUUGAAUCCCCUGAAAGCCUAAUUACUACUCAAUCGUCGUUCAUGGAUUUAGAGAGCUAUUACCUUUCCUUUUUGCCUGAAACUAUGUCCGCAAUUAGUUCGAGUGGAAAUGAAGAGGCAGCCAGCAUUAUCUAUUCCUAUCACAAUGUGAUGACGGGGUUUGCAGCAAGAUUAACUGCAGAACAAGUGAAGGAAAUGGAGAAAAAACACGGCUUUGUCUCUGCUCAGAAACAGAGGAUUUUGUCCUUGCACACUACUCAUACUCCAAGUUUUCUUGGUUUGCAGCAGAACAAGGGUGUAUGGAAGGAUUCCAACUAUGGGAAAGGCGUGAUCAUCGGAGUUCUAGACACUGGAAUUAUUCCUGACCAUCCUUCUUUUAGCGACGUUGGGAUGCCUUCCCCGCCAGCUAAGUGGAAAGGAGUUUGUGAGUCCAAUUUCACCAACAAGUGUAACAACAAGCUCAUUGGAGCCAGGUCUUACGAACUUGGCAAUGCUUCCCCGAUAGAUAAUGAUGGACAUGGUACACACACAGCAAGCACAGCUGCGGGGGCUUUUGUGAAAGGUGCUAAUGUAUAUGGCAAUGCUAAUGGAACUGCAGUUGGUGUUGCUCCUCUUGCCCAUAUAGCCAUAUAUAAGGUAUGUGGUUCCGAUGGAAAGUGUCCUGGCAGUGAUAUUUUAGCUGCCAUGGAUGCAGCUAUAGAUGAUGGAGUAGAUAUUCUUUCAAUCUCCCUUGGUGGAUCUCUGAGCCCUCUUUAUGAUGAAACUAUUGCUCUCGGGGCGUACAGUAUAACACAAAGAGGCAUUCUUGUUAGUUGUUCUGCCGGAAAUAGUGGUCCAUCACCUGCCUCAGUAGAUAACUCAGCCCCUUGGAUUCUUACAGUAGGUGCCAGCACGCUUGAUAGAAAGAUAAAAGCUACUGUUAAGCUUGGAAAUGGAGAGGAAUUUGAAGGAGAAUCUGCUUAUCAUCCAAAGACUUCAAACGCAACAUUCUUCACUCUAUUUGAUGCUGCAAAAAAUGCAAAAGAUCCAUCCGAAACACCUUAUUGCAGACGAGGGUCACUCACUGACCCUGCUAUAAGAGGAAAGAUAGUAUUAUGCUUAGCAUUCGGCGGUGUUGCCAAUGUUGAUAAAGGACAAGCUGUGAAGGAUGCUGGAGGUGUUGGCAUGAUUGUCAUCAACCCAUCACAAUAUGGUGUCACUAAAUCAGCUGAUGCUCAUGUUCUUCCAGCAUUGGUUGUUUCAGCUGCAGAUGGAACAAAAAUUCGCGCCUAUACAAACUCAAUAUUAAACCCUGUUGCUACAAUCACAUUCCAAGGAACAAUAAUUGGAGAUAAAAAUGCUCCAAUAGUUGCUGCAUUUUCUUCUCGGGGACCAAAUACAGCUAGUCGUGGAAUCUUGAAACCUGACAUAAUCGGUCCUGGUGUUAAUAUCCUUGCUGCUUGGCCUACCUCCGUGGAUGGCAACAAAAACACCAAAUCCACAUUCAAUAUUAUAUCAGGCACCUCAAUGUCUUGCCCUCACCUUAGUGGCGUAGCAGCUCUGCUGAAGAGCUCACAUCCUGAUUGGUCUCCUGCUGUUAUUAAGUCUGCAAUCAUGACAACCGCUGACACAUUAAACCUUGCCAGUAGUCCAAUACUCGACGAAAGGCUCAGUCCUGCUGAUAUCUAUGCAAUUGGUGCAGGACAUGUUAAUCCAUCAAGGGCAAAUGACCCAGGACUAGUUUAUGAUACCCCAUUUGAGGACUAUCUACCUUAUUUGUGUGGUUUGAACUACACAAAUUCACAGGUAGGUAAAUUGUUGAAACGCAAAGUAAAUUGCUCGGAGGUUGAAAGUAUCCCUGAAGCACAAUUAAACUAUCCUUCAUUUUGCAUAUCGAGACUUGGAUCAACUCCUCAGACAUUCACCAGAACUGUGACCAAUGUUGGUGAUGCCAAAUCAUCUUACACGGUGCAGAUAGCUUCACCUAAAGGCGUUGUCGUGAAAGUUAAGCCCCGCAAGCUAAUUUUCUCGGAGUUGAAGCAGAAGUUAACAUACCAAGUGACAUUUUCCAAGAGAACCAACAGCUCAAAGUCUGGGGUCUUUGAGGGAUUCUUGAAGUGGAAUUCUAACAAGUACUCUGUGAGAAGUCCAAUUGCAGUUGAGUUUGCAUUGGCUACAAAGUAUUCAGACAUUUGAAAAUGCUGUUUGUUUACACAAUUAACUUUAUGUUACUUUUUUCAUAUAUAUUAUUAAAUGUAUUGUUUCAAUAAACUUUACGUUCACAGCUGAUUGAAGAAUGCAAAAGCAUAUCCUCUUUGAUAUUAGUGACCAUGCCCUGCUCAACCUUUUCUUGAUUUCAUUUUUUUCAACAAAUAAAGUGACUUCUCGAGAUAAUAAAUAUUAGUUGAGUGACCGUAAAAGAAUCUCAGUUCAUAAUUAAGCACCCUUUGAUCCAGAAUCUUGACAGUGACUUCAAAAAUAAAGUCUUAGUCUUUGGUGACUUCAAACUUAUUAAUAAGACAAGAAAAAUAAUAGAGACAUAUCCUAUGAAUUUCCUGGAAAAACUGUUACGUUGUAAUGUUACGUAAACCCUUACAACUAGUUAAUAAAGUAAGGUUCGUUCAAAUCCUUAUAUAAAAAAAAAAGAUUCUCAUUCUCAAUUAGCCCCUUUCUGCACCCCCAAUGAAAUGGAAUGAAUCAAGAAUUAAGGACAAAUAUGACUAAUAUAAUAAGAAAUGAAUUUGCCCUACCUAAAUCCUUACGAUUAGUUAAUAGAGUAAGGAUUGUUCAAAUCCAUAUGAAGAAGAAUUCAUUCUUAAUACUCGGCCUCAAAAUAACUCACGAGGAGGAGGGGCUUCUUAUGUAAAUGUUCACCCGACAAAAAAAACUUUCUUACUAAAAUGGUCGUAGUAUAUGUAAUAUAUCGAUAUUUGUAUGAAUAAUGUAUAAUUAUGUAUAUAUAGUAUUUAUACAUUGUAUCAAUUCAUCUUCCUCAAUAAUGUGUUUUCUUGAAUCUUAAAUUUUUAACCAACUCAAAUCUUCUCUAAUCAUUCCAAGUAGUUUUGUUGUUCGCUAGCUCUUAUUGAAUUGUAUAUCUUUUGUAUAUAUAUAUAUAUAUAUAGAAAAGAUUUGAUUAUGAUAUAGGGACUCAACACUUUAAGAGUUGAUGUUCAUUUCAUUCUCUAAAAAUAUGAAAUAGAGAUACUUUCUUUAAGCAAAAGGAUAAAUUAUAAAAUCAAAUUAAAGAGGAUUGAUCGAAGAAUAACAUUAACUUGUUGAUGCUUAGCUUAUUCAUAUGAUGACCAAAAAAAAAAAAAAACUUCGAAUUUCCUGCAAAAGACGUUGUAAUUAAUUCACAUGGAUAUUUUUUAUUAACAUAUUGUGGCCAAAUGGACUUACUAACACAAAUAUAAUAUAAUAGUACUAAAUUAAUAUUCGGUAUAUUAAUAGUUUAUCUAAGACAAUAGGUUUUUUCAUGUCUUGAUUUGUGUCAAUGAAAAAAAUCACUCAUUUCAAUAUGAUAAUAUGACAAUAUAUUUUCAGAAGACCCUAUAUAAAUAUACUAUCCCACUAAUAUUAUUUUUAAAAAUAUGAAUAUAUCUAAGAUAAUUUAAGUGAAAUGUGAUUUUAUUAUCUUUCUUAAAAAUUUAAAUCUAGUUAAAUUCAUGUCUAAUUUUUUUAUUGCAUCCAAAAAUUCUAGUGUUGUCACGACUACAAAUUAUCUUCCUGAGUGCGCCUCCUAUGUUGACACAUUUUAAAUGAGAAACCAUUUAUGCAUAUGGUUACAAAAAUUUCCUAUGUUGCUUAUAUAAUUUAUUCUCUCAUCAUCGUACAUUGAAUAUUUCUUGUGAAGAUACAUUGAAUAAUAUUUUGUUAUUAAGAAACAAUGACCAUUAUAUAUAGUGAAUUUGUUUUUACGAUGAAUCACUGAAUUUUUGAAUUUAUUUUAUAAUGAAUCAUUAAAAAAUAUAUAUAUAUUACCGUGAUUCAUACAUAUACAUUGUACUUUGUGUAUAAUGAUUUUUUUUUAAAUAUAAGUUCAAUAAAUAUAAUGUAUAAUUUAGUAAGAUAUAAUGAUUUUGAUAUAUUCACUGUACUUAUUAUAUAUAAUAAAUUUAUUUCUUAUGUGAAUUCAAUAAAUAUGAUACAUAAAUUAAUAAGAUAUAAUUAUUUUAAUGUAAUCAAAAUUGACCUUCAUUGAAUCUCAAAAACACUCUUUAAUUAAUAAAUAUUAAUUUAUGAAUUAAAUAAUACCUUUGUAGAAUAACAAUAUUUUAUGAUCUCACAUGUAUUAAUUUAAUGAGAUUUUAAGGUAUGCGAGCAAAAUCUACUAAAUUCGAUCAAAUCUGCGUGCAGGUUACUAGCUCUACCCUUCACGUUAUACCAACUAUAUAUGUCAAAUGUCCACGCAAGUCCAAUUGAAGGAGAGCAAUGUACAUCAUCCAUCAUUCACGUUUUGUCUUGCAAAUAAAUUAAAUUAACCAAUUUUUAUUUUAGUAUUUAAAAUUAACCAAUUUUAGUUUUAUAAUUAAUAUUUUUAAUCUCGACCAACUGAAAUCUCCUAUGAGCACCUCGAAUUUUAAAUUUGAGCUCCUCUCAAUAUUUCAAGACUAUUAAUAUAUUAUUCGUUCAAAAUAAUUGAUGACUAUUGAAAUUAAUUCUCGGAAAAGGAUCUUGAAUAGUUACAUGUUCAUGCAUUGCAACUUUAUUUAGACAUAAUAUUCGCAACUUUUUAUUACAAAGUGAUUUAACAGUUAAAAUUUGUAUGGUAAAAAGAUGUUCAUAUAAUUAAGCAAAUUUACAGUGGAAAGUCUUUUGGAAAAUCUACAAAUUCAUAGAAUAAAGUUCAAUGUAACUUUAGUUUCAUUCACUCUUAGUGGCCUUUCUUUUCUUUUUCUUUAAGUAUUAAUUUUAAUUUUCUUGUCCACAUUAUUCUUUUUUUCCACUUGGAAUAAAAUAAAGUCAUGAGCAAAGAUGAAGUAUAAAUAGACAGUUGCAUCAAAGCAGAAAAAUUCAUCAAAUACAUUAUCGCUUCAGCCAUGGGAUUCUUCAAAGUCCUUCUUGUUCUCAUCUUUUGUUCUUUCCCAUGGCCGACUAUUCAGAGUGGUCUCGAGAUUUAUAUAGUCCAUGUUGAAUCCCUUGAAAGCCUGAUUUCUACUAAAUCAUCGUUAACGGAUCUAGACAGCUAUUACCAUUCUUUUUUGCCUAAAACUACUACCGCAAUUAGCUCGAGUGGAAAUGAAGAGGCUGCUACCAUGAUCUAUUCCUAUCACAAUGUGAUGAAAGGAUUUGCAGCAAGAUUAACAGAAUCUCAUGUGAAGGAAAUGGAGAAGAAACGAGGCUUUGUUUCCGCUCAGAAACAGAGGAUUUUGUCCUUGGAUACUACUCAUACUCCAAGUUUUCUUGGUUUGCAGCAGAACAUGGGUGUAUGGAAGGAUUCCAACUAUGGAGAAGGCGUGAUCAUCGGAGUUAUAGACACUGGAAUUCUUCCUGACCAUCCUUCGUUUAGUGAUGUUGGAAUGCCUCCUCCGCCUGCUAAAUGGAAAGGAGUUUGUGAGUCCAACUUCAUCAACAAGUGUAACAACAAGCUCAUUGGAGCGAGGUCUUACCAUCUUGGCAAUGGUUCCCCGAUAGAUGGUAAUGGGCAUGGUACACACACAGCAAGCACAGCUGCGGGAGCUUUUGUGAAAGGUGCUAAUGUAUAUGGCAAUGCUAAUGGAACUGCAGUUGGUGUUGCCCCUCUUGCCCACAUAGCUGUGUAUAAGGUAUGUAGUUCUGAUGGCGGUUGUUCUGACAGUGAUAUUUUAGCUGCCAUGGAUUCAGCUAUAGAUGAUGGAGUAGAUAUUCUUUCUAUAUCCAUUGGUGGAUCUCCCAACUCUUUCUAUGAUGACCCUAUUGCUCUUGGGGCAUACAGUGCAACGGCAAGAGGUGUUUUUGUAAGUUGUUCUGCAGGUAAUAGAGGCCCUUUGCUUGCCUCAGUUGGAAAUGCAGCCCCUUGGAUUCUUACAGUAGGUGCCAGCACGCUUGAUAGAAAGAUAAAAGCUACUGUUAAGCUUGGAAAUGGAGAGGAAUUCGAAGGAGAAUCUGCUUAUCGUCCACAGAUUUCCAACUCAACAUUCUUCACUCUAUUUGAUGCUGCAAAACAUGCAAAAGAUCCAUCGGAAACCCCUUAUUGCAAACCAGGGUCACUCAAGGGCCCUGUUAUAAGAGGAAAGAUAGUAUUAUGUCUAGCAGGCGGUGGCGUCUCCAGUGUUGCUAAAGGAAAAGUUGUGAAGGAUGCUGGAGGUGUUGGCAUGAUUGUCAUCAAAACAUCACAAUAUGGUGUCACUAAAACAGCUGAUGCUCAUGUUCUUCCAGCAUUGGAUAUUUCAGAUGCAGAUGGAUUAAGAAUUCGUGCCUAUACAAACUCAAUAUUAAACCCUGUUGCUACAAUCACAUUCCAAGGAACAACAAUUGGAGAUGAAAAUGCUCCAAUAGUUGCUGCAUUUUCUUCUCGGGGACCAAGUAGAGCUAGUCCUGGAAUCUUGAAACCUGACAUAAUCGGUCCUGGUGUUAACAUCCUUGCUGCUUGGCCUACACCCGUGGAUGACGACAAAAACACCAAAUCCACAUUCAAUAUUAUAUCAGGCACCUCAAUGUCUUGCCCUCACCUUAGUGGUGUAGCAGCUCUGCUGAAGAGCGCACAUCCUGAUUGGUCUCCUGCUGUUAUUAAGUCUGCAAUCAUGACAACGGCUGACACGUUAAACCUUGCCAAUAGUCCAAUACUAGACGAAAGGCUC